GAGGCAUAUUAUUAGAUAAGUAUUUGAUUUGGAAACGUUAUUGUUAUAGACUGUUGCUUUGGCUCUUAGAUGAUUUCCUGUGUAGUAUAUGGGACUUAUGACUCAGCCAUGCUUGUCUGCACAUGUGGAUAUGUAAUAGAAUCUAAGUUUUCUGUGGAAUCUGAUCUAAGUUAUCUCACUUAGUAUGAGCAUUACAAAAGUUUCUUUAUUCAAAAUCUUAGAUCUGAGCUCCAGCCUCUAGCAAAUUGGAUAAACAAAAAAACUAAAUAGUCUCUACAAAUUGUGCUAAGAGAAAACUAAUAUUGUUAUUACUUUUAUU
This 319-nucleotide long non-coding RNA is filed under the name Elaeis guineensis (African oil palm). Its description in RNAcentral is "long non-coding RNA (EGUI_LNC009555)". The record is from RNAcentral. Lineage: Eukaryota; Viridiplantae; Streptophyta; Magnoliopsida; Arecales; Arecaceae.